GAAGGAUCUAUAAGCGGAGGAGGAGGUCGGUGGUGAUCCCGUGCCCAUGUCUUUUGAGUGCCUUAGUUUCCUCGGCGGGUCCGCCCGCCGAUUGGACAAUUUAAACCAUUUGCAGUUGCAAUCAGCGUCUGAAAAAAACUUAAUAGUUACAACUUUCAACAACGGAUCUCUUGGUUCUGGCAUCGAUGAAGAACGCAGCGAAAUGCGAUAAGUAGUGUGAAUUGCAGAAUUCAGUGAAUCAUCGAAUCUUUGAACGCACAUUGCGCCCCUUGGUAUUCCAUGGGGCAUGCCUGUUCGAGCGUCAUUUGUACCUUCAAGCUCUGCUUGGUGUUGGGUGUUUGUCUCGCCUCCGCGUGUAGACUCGCCUCAAAACAAUUGGCAGCCGGCGUAUUGAUUUCGGAGCGCAGUACAUCUCGCGCUUUGCACUCAUAACGACGACGUCCAAAAGUACAUUUUUUACACUCUUGACCUCGGAUCAGGUAGGGAUACCCGCUGAACUUAAGCAUAUCAUUAAAGCGGAGGAAUCCUACUGUAAUUCUGGGCUUUCCGCAUCUCUUACAUGGCUUUGAGUCUUGUUUCUGGCGGUCGCAUGGAAAUUUAACAUUGGUGCAUGCCGAAAAAUUAAUAAUCACUUCACUAUGGGUUGCUCAUAAAACACAAACAUAAUAGGUAGUUAAUUUGAAUCACUUAACAUGCGCGCUAUCGGG
Molecule: ribosomal RNA, 707 nt
Filed under: Boeremia exigua
Lineage: Eukaryota; Fungi; Ascomycota; Dothideomycetes; Pleosporales; Didymellaceae
Description: eukaryotic LSU rRNA
Rfam family: 5.8S ribosomal RNA (bases 151-304)
Source: RNAcentral